Molecule: long non-coding RNA, 9617 nt
Organism: Columba livia (rock pigeon)
Lineage: Eukaryota; Metazoa; Chordata; Aves; Columbiformes; Columbidae
Exons: 2
Source: RefSeq, a predicted model, not a curated record
ACCUGUGCUACGAAAAUGAACACCAGCGUGAUUAAACCCGAAACUCCAGAACUUCUCGCAGUUUAAAAGCAAAGGGUACUUACCCUGUAGCAAUAGGCGUGUAAGUACACAGACCAUUUUAAACAACGGCAAACAUAAGCGGCUAUACAAACUUUAGGCAUUGGAUAAUAUUAAAUAUUUUACUGGGGAAUUCUUUCUCUCCCUCAACAGUCUGUUUCGAAGAGGUAUAGCUCAUGUUGUGUCUAUCAUUUCAAUUCUUCCUAGCCUUCUUAGAGUUAAAAACCACCCAGCAAUCAGAGGUCUGCUAGGAUCACACAGGUGACAAGAAUAUUAAAAAAAGGCCAACUCAGUCCUCCAUAGUCUCUCAUAAAACCCUGGUUUUCUUGUAGGUAGUUUAGUAGAAUGUGUUGUACCAAUUCACUCAGUGGCAAUGCUACAACAGACCUAUUAGCAGUGAGACUUGAGCGCAUGGACAGCUCAUGAACAUAGACAAUAUCCAAUCAGCUAAUGCAUGCUUGGCACAUGGACGCGUGAUCAGGAAAUAACUGCAUAUAUAAGGAGGCUUGUUUCUAUAAUAAAUGGCUUCACUUGAAAUCAUAUUGGAUUGUGCAGAGUCCAUGAGCUUUCGCCCUUGCAGGAGAGGAUUUCUGUUAACCCUUUUGCAAUAAAAACAUUACUUGGAGAAAGAAGCCACCAUAACUCCAAACCCUCUUCUAUUUUCCUCAACUUUUUCUUCCCUUUAUACACAUUCUCUAUAAAUAUGCACAAAACAGAGGCAAAUACACUCCCAUUCAGAGCUCUAGAUGGGAACUGCUUUCUGCUGUUGCAGUGAUACAAAGUUAUGCCGGCAUCAGAAGAACCCUUGGAUUAGCUUACUCUCCUGAUACAUUCAGAAAACAGUUGAUGUUGUAAAUGCUGCAAAAAGAUAGAGUAAUCUCAAUGACAUCUCAUUGGGGACUGCAGACAGCAGCCAUAUAUCUUUUCUGAUAGGAGGUUUGUUUUUCUAUGACUGAUUUACACCUAUUUCAUUCCUAUUGAUAACUAAUCACCUAGGACAACACUGUUACUUAAUGUUUACAUGUUAUUAAAUCAUGUGGCAUUUUAUGAAAAUCAGUGAAAAUGAAUGCAUUUAGAUACAGUCAAAAUAUGACUGAAUUAUAUGACUAACCAAUGUAUUACCUUUCUAAAUGUUUACAAUCCUGGACAGAAGCCUGCUGGUAAGUUGUGGAUGCUGUCCCAGGAAUCAAAAGGAAAGAAUUCCAGUAGAUUCAAUUGACUUUGGAUCAAACUGUUGCUGUGCAGCUUGCUUUGAUAGAUGUGUGAUCAAAUUUUCUUGGCAAAAUAACUAAGAAAUAGCUGCAGAAAUUGUUUAGGUGAAGAUUUUGUUACGCUGUCAGAUUCAGCAUCACUGAAUUCAGCAAAUCCUGCUAUGUUUGCUUCAGCAAGUAACAACUCAGCCCAUAAGUUUCUGGAAGGUACAUUUUUAUAAUAGCUAUUCCAAGUUUUCAGCACAAUUGUACGUGACACCAUGCACACCUGAGAGUUACUGUUCCAGCCCCAGAGCACCCAGACUCACAAAAUACCCACAAAACCAAACAAAACCACACCAAACGUAAAUGACAGAACUAAACAAUUCAGCAGCACGAAGCAGCAACAGCCAGGAACCCAUCUGAAAGCUGUCCUGAUCAAUCAGUAACGCUUCGUUUGCUGCACUCAGUAUCUGCCUGCUGCUACAACAGCUUGUUCUGCAACGGAUGGGUGCCAUGUGAAACACUGCAGAAAUGACAGAGGUGCAUUCAAAAGAGAAAUAGAUCCCUGUUUGUAAAUCCGCUGUUUGGCAGGAAGCUUCUCACUGGCUGCAGAGUCAAGGAAAAGAGCAAAAGUUGAGAGCAGGUGAGAAACAGCUCCUGGGACUUGUUACCAGAUCUGCCACUGACUUGACAGCCAGUCUUUUAAGCCGCACAUCAGCUUUCAUGCUGUAAAGCAGGGAUUCCUUCCUUAGAGAGCUCCUGUGAAGCCCAGUUUAAUUAGCACCUAUGGAAGUGCCUUUAAGACUUCUGCUGUGAAGUGACACAGAUGCGGAGGAAAAAAAAAUUAAAAAAUAGAACUGCAGCUUUUGCUGUUUCCAAAAAAAGCCUUGUGUCUGCCUUGGGGAUUUGCUCAGCUUCUUAUAAAUCAUGUAAGUAUUAACUCUUACAUCACAGGGCUAGGCAAGUCCAUCAGCUGCUUAUUUUAGGCUCUGCACAGAACCAAAAAAAGGCUGCUAAAGGUAUCCAGUAGUUCUUGGGUGACAGCAAAAUGACCAAAUCAGACAACAACUAAAAGGCAGGAAGGGAAGAAUAAAUGAGUGAAUUUCAGCAUGAAAGGGGACUGCUAAGAAUAAGCUGCACUGGGAUCAGCACUGUUUACUGUAUUCAGUAUCCAGAAGUCAGGGGACAGUUGGAAAUGUUACGUAUGAAAUUACAGCUGGGUAGUGAAGACUAGGGGCGAGCUUGAGAGACGUGGUUGGACAGUUAUGCAGUGUCAGAGCAGAGGAAAUCUGCAAAUGCCAGCCAGGUUUUUUACUUAAGUUUAAUUCUAAGUAAUCUACAGCCUCUUCUUUUUUUUUUUUUUUUUUUUUUCUUUUUUUUUAGUGGAAAUACUUGCUGCUUGCUAACACCAGUCAGAUACACUUUUUUAAAAAGCAUUAACCAAACAGAAAUUUGUAUUGGUAAAGUACUCCCAUAUCACUGCAUGAAGUUUAUACUCUUUCCUUAUCUGUUUCAGAAAUGACAGAGCAGGAGACCUGAGACUGCUAGUGAAAAGGUCUACAGCACUUCUUGGUAAACUGAGUAAUUAGAAAUAAAUAAUACAUCUUCUGUGGAACCCCGAAGGACACCUCCACAGAAGAUGCACAUAUGUGUGUGUGUUAGCCACAUACAUGCGUAUGUCUGUGUGUAUUCUGGGGAGAAUGUAGGUGUACAAAAUGUAUAUAUCUUCACGUUUAAGGGAGUGAAUUAGUCAACAAUCCUGAAGAUUGAUUAAAUUUAGUGGCUAUUUCUCACAUACAUUGUUGUGAACGAGUUCCACCAAGAAAACAUUUUUUUCUAAGCACUUUUAUUCUCCCAGCUGAGUAAUUAUAUGGCACAGACUCCUUCAAUAGUGAGUGUAUUGGUAAGGGGUACAUCAGCUGAAUUUAACAGAACUGAACAAUUUGGCAACUCUGUAACAGAAAAAGAACAGAAAACCAAAACCUACGAUCUAAGAUUAAAUUAAAUGUUUACGUAUGCAUGUGGACGGGUGUAUGUUUUUUGCACAUGUUGCUUAUAUAUUUACGUAACACGUACAUACAAACCUAUACACAGAUCUUUCCACUCUAUUCAGCGCUACAAGUGCCUUAAGCAGAUGGGUUUGGAUACUGUCAUCUAUGAGAGACAGAAGUCAACUAGAGAAAGCGUAGAGAAAAGCAGUAAGCUCAGAAGUUUCAAAGAUGCAGGUAGUGAAGUUCAAAGGAAGGAAGACUGAUUAGAGAUGCAGUAAUGGAAUUUAAGCGAGCUAAAUGCUACCAGAAAGAAAAAUGUAGGUAACUGUUCUCCAUGUCCUCUGGAGACAGGACAAGAAAUAAGAGUUAAACUGCAUUAAAAAAAUAAAAUAUUUAGGCAAAUAUUUAUGCAAACAUAUUUUUGAAAGUAAACAAGACGCUUACAGAGGUUUUCUGGAACAGGCAGCAGAAGUACAUGUUGGGAACAGUUUUGGACACAGCUGAUUUUGUUCAUUGGACAUGAGCACAAGGGGCACUUGAGGUUUCUCCAAGACCCCACAUUUCAAGAUUAUAUGUUGUAUUGACUAAUUCUUCACAGGACGAGAUGAAGCACCAAGUGACUGACACCCUGAUACACAGGCACUCCAACCAGCCUGCAGUAUCAAUGGGCAACUAUUAUCCUUGGUGCUGUCAACUUGAGUCGUCUCCCCAAAAGUUCUGAUCAAGUGAUCUCAGAAAUUUGUCUCCAGCUUGCUUGCUGUGAUUACUAGUAAAGCCUCAAAUCUCAGCCUUCCGAAUUCUUGCCAAGAAGGCUAACAAGCACAAGCAAUGUGUGUGUAUAGUCUCCCUCAUUUCCCUUUUGCUCAGAACUGGUCACCUGCUUUACCUCAUUCUUUCAGUAUUUCAUUCAGCUAAUCUAAAUUAAGUCAGGUGCAUAAAACUGGGAAAUCUACUGUUUCAUAAACCAGUUUCAUCUCAGAGCGAUUUUUAAAUAGUUACUAUACUUGUUGGCGUCUAGCAACCAAAAUGAGUCUAAGGGGAACAGCAAAAGAAAGACAGAUGAGAAAUGGGAAUUUUAUAUGGUCAGAAAUGUUUUACAUAAACAAUAAAAACCUUUUACAUAGAAAAAAACAGAAAAUGAAUACAUAAAAGAAAUCCCUGGGUAGUUAAUUCCUGAAAACAGGAACAACGUUUCUAGCUCAUAAAUCAUACUGCAACCACCAUUCUGUAGGGGAGAGAGAUUACAGAGCAAGGAUUUGUCACACACCUGUCAGAGCCCCAGAUUUAUUUUCAGUGGUGGUACAGUAAUUUGGUAAAUUAAGUCUGCAAGUCCUGUACUUUAUUUACUACUUAGAAAGAAUGCAAUGGAUGGUUUUCAGUAUCUUAUUACCAUUCAGCACUCUAUUAACUUCUGCCAUUGUUGCUAUGUUUUCCCUUGUCCUGUCAGUUACUAAUGGCACAUUCUUAUUCUAAUGUUAAGUUAGCAUGAAGUAAAAAAAUCACAACACACACACACACACAAUCUCUCUGAAAAUAUGCAGAGGACACUGAAUUAAGUUAUUUUACUUUGAGAAAAGGCUCUGCAAAAGGUAGGUAGUUUUACCCACAAACACUACUGGGACACUGUGCUCAAAAUCUGGGCACUUCCAGUCUGCCAGUGAAAGUGUACCUUCCCAAAUGUGUCUUUCUAUGUAUUGGCAGUCACACUUGGCAUUUCUGUGAAAAGACUGCUGAUGUGAAUUCUCCUCAGGUAAAAUUAAGUUGAGAUUUUUUUGUGACAGGAUUUUAAGAAUCUGUAUUUGAAGACAAAUUUCCCUUCUCAUCAAAGUGUCAACCAAGCUCGUCAGCAAGAUGUUCUAAUGUUAUCAGACUUCUGGAAGGGUAAACUACCAGUGUAGGUGCCAGUUGCUUACAUGGGGGGGUGCAAUGUUACAUGUCCAAUGGGUGGAUAUGUGCCAACCUCACCAAUUUUGCGUAUAUCAAUUAGCAGAGUAUUAAUUCAUUUAUCCAUCAGCAUAGCGGAAUAGUAAUGACAGUGUGAGAUAAUUCUCCCCACCUGCAGGAAUAUAAUCCUGUAACCAGAGAUCUUUCCAUAGAAAAUACCAAGACAAGUAUAUCUCAAAUAGCAAGAAGACCAAUUUUUAAGUAUUAAUAUGACAUCAACUGUCGAGGUCAACCUAUUAGUAGCACUGGAUUUAAUGAAAACUUCCUAACUUGGUUUAGAUAACUGUAAGUGCAGCCCCAGUGCUUCAGCCAUCUCCAUUCUUUCUCUUUUUGUCCGUACAGAACACACGUCAAAGUCAUUUAAUGGGGUUGAGUACCUGAAGGAGAAGGCUGUCCUUUUACUACACCGUUUUUCAUCUUUUCUUCAGAAUUCAUUACUUCUUUGUAAAUGAGUUCUGGAAGAGAAAAUUGCGACAGUUACAAAUGAGAACCAGCACCUGCGAUCAGGAAGAAAGCAACUACCACAAAACGCAGCACUGUAGCCUUCCUUAGGCUGCCUUGCUCUGCCCUACCUUGUCUUCACAAGUUCGACAGCCCUGCUCACCUAAGACCUCUCUCUUCCAUUCCCUUCCUCUCCUAUCAUCUCUUUUUGGAGCUGAAGUGAGACAGAAACUAGGAAACAUGUGAAUUGUUUAAUGCUGCACUACCUAGAAAUGAAGUAGCACAGUAAUACAGUGCUUUUUACUAUGGGUAAAAUUCUGAUGCAUUGUCCUGUUCUCCAGAUGAUAUCCCUAGGUUUCUAUGAAGCAUUGGAAUCUGCAUCCCCCCGUGUUAACAUUAACCUAUGUAAACAAUGAUAGUACUGAGGAUAUUUCUUAUAUUUUAGCUACCAAAGUGCUAGUUUCUUCCUGUCAAAGGAAUUCCUUUGGGUUUACACAGAUGCACCUGGUGGUGGGACAUGGCUGUUUCACCACUGAAAUACCCCUUCCCAUUUAAUUCUAAACUGCUAUUACCUUUCCAUUCCUCGAUUGUAUGUUCCCUUUCAUCCAGCUGUUUAUCAUAUAUCUGAGGCGGUGGCUGCAGAAGAGAAACAAAGUUAUUUAUUCAACUGUCCAUUACAUUGUAAAUAAUUAGGAGUAACUAUUUAAGUAUAGAUAAAUGCCCUUCUCCCUCUUUGUUAUCUAUCCUGUACAUCAGGGGUGUCAAACUCAUUUUCACCGGGGGCCACAUCAGCCUCAUGAUUACCUUCAAUGGGCCGAAUGUAAUUUUAGAACUGUAUAAAUGUAGGAGUAGUUAAAUUUACACAGUCCUAAUAUUACAUUUGGCCCUUUGAAGGCAACCACGAGGCUGAUGUGGCUCCUGCUGAAAAUGAGUUUGACACCCCUGCUGUACAUGCAAAAGCACAUGAAACACAUUUGAGUAUUAAAUGAAUUAACACUUUGGGAAUUCAAGUCUUUAUGUAGGAGUAAUCAAUGUAUUUCUCCCUUUCUUCUUUUAAACAAGAGCCAUAAUUGCAGGUGAAACAGAACCCUUGUCAGCAGUGCCACUGUUCUUAUCGUGAGCCCAGAAAUUCCACAAACAGACUGUUUGCACUGGUAGAGAAAGUACUGUCAGAAUGCCAGACAAAUACCAAUCCUGAUUAAUUAGAAGUCAUAUUACAAUAUGAAGUUUCAAGUUGUCCUUCAGACAUGAUACUCACUGCUAUACAAACUUCUAAGAGUAACUAAUUUAAUGCAUAUCUCCCAGCCAGAAUUUCUGAUCUAUGUUCCAAAUUACCAAGCUUGCCAGUUUACAUAUUUUUAAGUAACUUUGCUCUAACCAGAAAGGUGUUGGGUGUUUUUUACUGUAUGUUUUAGUUGCUGAGAAUGUCACAGAAGUAGAAGAUCCUGAAAUUUAUUGAGACAGAGGCAACUAGAGUUUCUGAGAGCCUGAACACCUGCCUUCCUUGAGGAAAUAAGCCGCAUGUUCAUUUUGUCUCCUGAUGUCAGCUGCCAAAUCCAGCAGCCAAGCAAGGUAGAGGACUCUGCCCCUUCCUUCUAUCAAGAAGCUUCAGCAUCUGAGUGCAAGCAGAAGCACACUGGUGUGCUGUCACCAGUGGCCUGAACUCUCUUCAGCUAGACAUGAAAGUGUCAAUGGCCUCAGAUUUCACCCUGUAUUGCGCAGGGACUCCACAGUAGGCUGUGGAGAUGGAAAAAGAGAUGCUUCUGUGCCCAGCCAUUCCUUGGAACCUUUGCAGACCCUUUAGGAAAACUUCAUUGAAGAAACUGUGGCCUGAGGUGUUUCUGAACAGCUGGACUGCAAGGAUGGCAGGCAGCAGGAGGCAAGAUUACUUGGCCGUGCACAGAUGACUGAGUAGUUUACGAAUAAGUACAACAGCAAGCUGGAAAAAUCUUGAGCUUUGUUUGGAGGAGAAAAAAGAAGAUAAAUGCCUCUUUUGUCUCCAACCACUACUUCUCACUGACAUUAACAUAGAUUGCUGCAAAGGGUGUGUUCGGCUUCCAUAACUUAUCAGCUAUAAAUGGACAGAUGCUGCUGACUAGACAAAAUAUCCAUGCUUGUGUACAAAGCAGAGCUGCAAACUUCUUUUGUGAGACAACAGAUGUGCACCAUCAGCCCCUAAGCAAAAAACCAAACUCUGGAACUGAUUGCUAGAAAACCCCUGUGGCAGAUCACCACAGAGUUUAGACACAACAUCCAAAUAUGCACAGAGCUGAGCAAGAGAAAAGAAUACCAGAAAAGAUGUACAACCUGACAGCCUUGAUUCUGCCACGAAGUGUCACAUGUAGUGAAGGUGACACCUUCAUUCAAGUGUUGUUUUCCAGGCUCACAGAGGUCUCCAGAAAUGCUUCUCCAUCAUCAUGGAUGCUCAACAUUCACAGGCAAAAGAGAUGGCUUUUUUGUUGUUGUUGUUUUCUUAUAACAAACUUCAAAACUUAAAAUUUAUUUGAGUAGAUUUUAUUUAACAGCUGGUCACAGUUUAUACAGAAAGGGCUAAAACAGUACAGAAGCAGUUUCCAUCCUGGAGAGGACAUCAGACUGAGAAAUGCAAACGAGAUCUCCUUCAUAAGCAUUGUAGGAAACAGCAUCACAACAAUAAAAGGCAACACACGGGCUGUCAAGCACAGAAAAAUGAAUUAUAAUUUACAGCCCAGUCCCCAUAGGUAGUCCUAGAUAUAGAGACACCCCAGUGAAAUAUAAAUCCUAUGAAAAUAAAACCAAUAUCGAAAGCAGUGUUAGUUACAGCAAAUAAAACCCCACACGAUCUAUCACUGUUGUAAAAUUCUGUUAGCAUUGAGAAAUGCUUAAAAGGUACUUGGUUAACGUCUGAUCUUUCCCUCUUCUAAGAAAUCUCUCCUCUAAUGAAUGGCAAUGUCAGAGAGCAAGCAAUAACUACAGGUAAGUAAAAUCUAAGAUGAAUUUUGAAACCACUUAAUAGAAAACACCAGAUAAUAAUCUAUGGUAAAUUUUGCUACUACAUUUGUUACCAUGGAAUGGAACAGAACAAUACUGUUCCCAAGUAGGAACCACUUAUAAGAUCACACAGAUAAUUCAAGAGGUUCCAAAAAGAAGUGAUUCCUGAAUCAUUUAUAGCUGAAGAAAAAAAUGGGCAACAUUAAGUCCUAAACAAUUGCCCUUAAGCAGCAGAAAUUCUUCUAAAACAGCAUCUUCCAGAAAUAUGCAUGCAAAUAUUUUUGGCUGAAAAACACUUGGUUAAUAUUUUACAAAAAAAUGUAGUAACUGAAAAAUUAAGGAAAGGAAUUGAAAGCAGCCACAGCCUUGCAUAAGACUGUUACUUUGAUACCAGUAAGUAGGUAUCUCUCCCAUUCAAAAUUAUUUCUCAUGCCAACAACAUGGAAGGAAUUAGACUGGAGACCAGGCAGCUCAAGCCAACGCCGUCCUAGAGAACAACCAGCAUGAGUGUUCUGAAAUUUGGCAGCAGAGCCACCCAGGUGGCAACACUAAAGCUAAUCUGAAGCAUGUGCCUAGGAAUCCAUCCUGUUCACGAAUGAUUUAAACAUUUUACGAUAAAACCAGUAACAUACAUAUAGGCAGUGUCGCACAAACAACUAUGAAAAACUAACUAUCUGAUCUGGGAUUUAUUCACAGCUCAUCUCAAUGAAGGAUUAAGAACAUAUAGCAACAUCAAAAAAGGCAGCUGUGCAAAUGAAAACAAAGUUUCAGGCACAGCAUUUUCAGACAAGAAAAUAGAGAAGUUAAUAUGUCACCAGGGAGAUAUUGAAACGGUCUACAAUAAACAGGGUAGCCUACACGGGGAAGCAAGAGAUGAUGGAAAUGUCUUCUUCACUAAAAAAAGACCAGCGCACUUUGAGGAAGAAAAUGUAUGGUGUGUCUCAUUUAUUCAUAAUAAUAGCCCAAAUACUGUAAGGUAAAGUAAAUAUUGUAACACAAGAGUAAUAAACAUCAGUAUUCG